AGAUGGCUGACAUCAAGUGGGGGUUGCCAUGGUGAUGAUCAACUGGGGAGGUGACCACACUAUGAACCUCCGUGUCUCUUACAGGUACAGAUGUACAUGAAUUUUUACCACUCUCAACCUCCAACAGACCUUCACCUACAUCCAAGAGCUGCAACUGCACAUUGUCUGCAGGUUCAAACAGCACCAGAGAGUCAUACAGAUCACAGUUAAGUGGAACUUUGCAUUUUACCUAGGUUACACUGCUAGCGGGGAUAACUUUUUCCUUUUGACCUAUUCUCACAAACCCUUGCAGUGUAACUUUUUUUUUUUUUUUUAGUUUGUACAAAGCAUACAACAUUCCUUCUCAUGUGUGAUUGGCAUGGCACUACAAAGCAAGCUAGUUAAGACUGGUAUUAGCCUGUCAGGUUUCCCCUUGAUAAACUCUUCCAACACAUUGAAAUGAAAAAGAGGUAUCUCUAAAGGUAACUGACCAACAAGGAAAGGUGCUGUAACUGACAGGUUAGGGUCUUCGUUUAUUGGCAAGUUCACUGUCAUUGUGACCCAACCUUCAAAAGGGAUUACGUCCCCAUUCACUGCGUACACAUCAAGCUCAUCAUCUUCCUUCAUCAGCUCAGCAAGUGGUCGGACUUCAAGGUGAGGUAGGUAUUUGUUUUUCCAGGACCAGCCUAUUAUGCUCACUUGGGCUCCUGUAUCCACCAGAGCGCUGACUGUUAAACCAUUAAGGACACAUUUGGUUACAGUUUUCCUGCCUAUCAGUGCUGCUAUCUACUCAUUGUUAUUAGUCCCAGGGUCUGAUGGGACUAUGCAGUCUUGUUUACAUAGUUUCUGUGGUAGCUUGCGGUGCAUUGUUCUCACUGCUGCUUUAGUUAUUAGACUCAAUCUUUUGCGCAUUUGAGUGGUACUUGGAUGGGGCCCCGAUCAUUGCUUGUCCCCCCGCAAUGACCGGCUCAAAUUUCCCCGCUGUUUAGGGUUUUUCAUACAGCCUACAGCUCUACGGCCUUCCCCACCACAGGAAAAACAAUGUUAAUAGUCAGUUGAGCUGAUCUCCUGACACUUUGGACACCAGUAUCGACGGCCUUUCUUGCUCAUUUGGGGUCUGGAGGAUAAAAAUGAAUGAAAACGCUCUCUUUGGACUGUUUUAGCUAAGGAGUCAACCAAUUUGGUUCUCCAUCAGUUUAUGCACUGUGGGCUGCUGUAUAUUUCUGUUGAUUAGUUGAACCUAAUUGUUAUUUUCAUGACAUGUUUCAGUAUUGUUUCACCUGUUACUGCGUUAUCUAUGGUUUUAAUUCUCUGCGAAUAUCGCUAUGCUUGUGCCCAAUCCCCUGAUAAACAGUCUGUAAAAAGACCCCCACUAUUUCUGGACUGUAUCUGAUCCCAGCUUCUGUGUGUUUGUAGGAGAAAAGUAUCCGCUGCUUUAGCCGUAUUACCUGGUGAAGAAAUUGCUGAGGGCUUUCAUGUUCACCUUGUUUUGCACACAUCAACUCUUGGAAUAACACAGUCGUGCUCUUUUCACCACGAUGUGAUUGGAGGAACUCCCUGAGUUCAGUGACCGUCAUGUCUCCUUUAUUCAUAAGCAUGUCUUUGAAGUUUCCUGGUUUUAUGAUUCUCAACACACCCCUCACUAUCUCAGAGUUGGUGAAAUUUUCUCUUUGUCCUUCCUCCAUUUGUCUGCAUACACUAUUAUGUCAGAGGAGUGAUCACCCAUUUGGCCACCCUGCACUUUGAGUUCAGGGAAGGUAGGAGAGGUCUUUUAGAGACACAAACGUCUCUUGAGUGUUGCUUGGAACUGUCUUUACCUGGUUGUUACAGUGUGGUCUGUGACUGUUCUGUGUGGAAAACUGUGUGGGUGUGGGUUGUGCAGUAAACCUAGCUUGUGCUGACUGUACAUUCAUGAACUCCUGUAUUUUCUUACUCAAUUCCUCAUAAUAUGACAUGUUGUAAACCUCUGGUUGUGUACCAUUUACAGAGCUAUGUGUAGUGGUAUUUACUGGGUUAACAACUGGCUGUAAAGACCCUGUAGUAUCAUCCAUUACUCUGUUUGUGGGCGGCCCACUAACUGUGGUUGACGGUACUUUUACAACAGGUGGAGAAACCCCUGGUAGGGAUUGUAACUCUACAUGUGUACUUGAUUCAACAGGUAAGGUUACAUUAAGACCAGACUUCCCCACAGUAUCAAUUCU
This is a long non-coding RNA of Myripristis murdjan (pinecone soldierfish), 2180 nucleotides long. RefSeq lists it as uncharacterized. The transcript is spliced from 3 exons. Lineage: Eukaryota; Metazoa; Chordata; Actinopteri; Holocentriformes; Holocentridae. The record is from RefSeq and is a predicted model, not a curated record.